Pan troglodytes (chimpanzee) is the source of this 1484-nucleotide long non-coding RNA. RefSeq lists it as uncharacterized. Lineage: Eukaryota; Metazoa; Chordata; Mammalia; Primates; Hominidae. The transcript has 5 exons. The record is from RefSeq and is a predicted model, not a curated record.
UCCAUUUGUUUUGUAGGAUUUCAACAGUGAAGGAGACCUGAGAAGCCAUAAAAUCAAUCUCUCAAAUUGAAGUUGAAAAAAGCAAAUCAUCUCUCACACCCACCCUGAUUGGGAGCUUAUAGAACCUUGGGAACCAGGAACCCUUUAGGACCCUGUGAACUACAAGUCUGCUAUUUUAGGAAGUGGAUAAAAUGGCAUUUUGACAGAUCUGGAGGGUCUUGGAUCUACCUUUCAACAUUGGCAUUACUGAUAUUAGAGUACCACCACUCACUAGCUGUGGAGAUGUAGGAAGAUUACUUAACCACUCAGAGCCUUGGUUUCCUCAUUUGUUAUGUGAAGAUGACAAUAUCAGAUGACAGUGAGAUCUGAGAUGAAUUUAACUGCCUUCAGUAGUGCUGGCCUGCUCCUGAGAGAGAGAUGAUUGAGAGGGAGGAAGUAGAGAGGAGGAAGAAGCCUUUACUCACACUCCUUGAGGAGUGAUUCAGGUGGACAGCCUGAAUUAUGGGAUUUAUUGGCAGCAAGUAUCAGAUAGUAUGCUAGAUGAUGGUGAAAUGGAGAUGGAAAGGCUCAUCCCAGCUCUCAAGAACUGACUGUCUAUUGGACAAAGAGGUAAACAGAUGAUUACAGUAUGUGAAGAUAAGUGUACCACGGUGGGUAUGUAUAUUGGGCAAUGGGAACUCAUACAAGUGUUAAAUCAAGUUUAGCCUAAAGCUGCCUCCAUAUAUAUUUAAGUUCAGUCUAAUGGUUUUACUGUACAUCGUGACCUAUAACAAGUGGAGGUGUAAACAGACCGUAGCCUACACUUGUGCCAGUCAUGGAGUUUUGGCCAAUCAAAUGUAGCCAACUGUUUGAACCGUGUUCAAAUAAGGCAAGUGCUGAGCUGUAACCAAUCCAGCUGUUUCUGUACCUCAUUUCUGUUUUCUGUAUGUCACCUUCCUUUUUCUGUCCAUAUAUCUUCUUCCACCACGUGGCUGCGCUGAAGUCUCUGAGCCUAUUCUGGCUCAGAAGGCUGCCCAAUUUGCAAAUCGUUUAUUGCUCAAUUAAACUCCUUUAAAUUUAAUUCAGCUGAAGUUUUUCUUUUAUACGAAGGAAGCAUCCACAUUUGCCUACAGGAGAUGAGCCUUAAGCUAACUCAGAAAAUGAAUAAGCCUUAGGCAAAGGUGAGAGCACAAGUCACACAGAGGUCACACGGUGCACAAAAAAAUAGGCAUGAGACAGUAUGAGAAGGUAUGAAACAUGGAGAUGAGGGGGUGGGAAUUAAAACAAAAUGUGACUGGCUAGGUAGUUUGAGUUUACACAGUAAGGGAUCUUUGUUUUCCCAUGAGGUAUUCUGAAACUUUGAAUCACUCUUCUAUUGCUACUACUGCAGUGGUUCUCAGUGUGUCAUGGUGACUAACUGGGUAGGCUCAGAGGUCAGACUGCCUGAGUUCAAACCUUUCUCUUCUUGCUACUAGAGUGCCAUUGCACAGUUUGUUUACCUGGCU